This 337-nucleotide unclassified non-coding RNA is filed under the name Ephedra lomatolepis. Its description in RNAcentral is "partial ITS1". Lineage: Eukaryota; Viridiplantae; Streptophyta; Gnetopsida; Ephedrales; Ephedraceae. The record is from RNAcentral.
GGGACGUUAAACCAACAACCCAAGGGUGCCUCGGAAUGCCUGGUGCGCGACGGGGGCGGAUCUUACUUGCCGCUCACUGGGGCUUCCGCCCCGUCCCGUCGCGGCGGACGCGGUUGGUGCGCGAYGGGGGCGGAUCUUACUUGCCGCUCACUGGGGCUUCCGCCCCGUCCCGUCGUCGUCGUCGGCCGCGGGGGGUGCGCGAUGGGGGCGGAUCUUACUUGCCGCUCACUGGGGCUUCCGCCCCGUCCCAUCGUCGCCUCCUUUCCGGGGCGCCCUAUUCCAAUUUUUUACUCUGUAGAGAAAACUUGGGCCGGGAGUUCCGGCAAAGAGGGCGGGA